AGGGUUUCACAUCCAUUCAUUUCAAAACGUUUCAAAACAUAUCGCCGCUCCCUUGCUCCUCUCUCUCUCUCUCUCUCUCGCGAUUUCACCAGAUCUAUGAAGUUUCAACAGAUCGAUGAAGAUUCAGACCUCCUGGUUCCGAUUUCUGGCUUUUAUUGGCUUUAUUUCAUCCCUAAUUUCUCUUCCCUUUCGUCUUCCUUCUUACGAAGAGCAAUAUCCAUCUUCAAGAGGUUACUCAUAGGCUUGCUCAGAUCGACGGAGAAGAGUUGCAACGGAGAAGAGGUGCAACUGAGACUUUUAGAUCUGCGAUCCCCAAACCCUAAUACGGUAAAACUUUUAGAUCUGGUAUGUUUAUAUGCAGGUUGGGGGAUUUUGAUUUCAGGUUAGUGGUCUGAUUUAUCAUAUUGCGAUUUUAUACAUGUUUAAUUACAUGAGCGAGUUUAAUACCUGGGUCAAUUUUGUUUUUUCUUUCAGGUCAUUUCCGGCUGUUGUUCUAUCUUUAUCGCAAACUUAAAGUUCAAUGUCUGGACCACUCGAUUGAUUUGAAAGACCUUGUUUUGUUUUCCGUGUCAACACGGUCAACGAAUAUGCAUCUUUUGUUCUGAAGGAUGUGGUGAGAACCAAGACUUAUCUAAACAUCUUCUGCAAGAACAAAUUUUUAUUCAAAGAAAAGAUUGUUCUUGACGUUGGUGCCGGGACCGGAAUAUUAUCCCUCUUCUGUGCAAAAGCUGGGGCAAAACAUGUUUAUGCUAUUGAGUGCUCACAGAUGGCUGACAUGGCACCAGAGAUUGUUAAGGGGAACGGUUUUUCAAAUGUGGAGGUUGUAAAUGGUGGAAAAGACCUGCACAUCUCUGCUACCAUGCCCUGCCAUGCCAUUGAGCCUGGUCCGGAUUCGGUUGGGAUCUUUACGAUUUUAUAGAGUUGUAGUGGAGUGGCAGCUAGAGCCUUCGAUUUUAGAGAUUCUUAAAGAUGUGGGCGCCUUAUGCGCGUAUCGGAAAGCAGUCGGUGAUUUGGUCCAGCGGUUUGUCUAACGAGUGGAUUGAAAAGGGGCGGCAACUGGCAGAGGUGCUUCCUCAUGCGGCAUUUGUCACACAUUCUGGUGGCUGCUGGCCACAGGUGAGAAUUUAGAUCUUUGGCAAUUGGCAGGAACUUGCAGCCUCAAAACCCAUUUCGCAGCUGCCCCAUAAAGCCCGAAAUCUUCAUAAGUUUUCAUCUGGACCAAUCCGAAUUAAUCAACAAUCACCAGAAGAUGUUCAUGGAGAGGGUGAAGCAACUGAAACACUUUUAUUAUCGAUUUCAUGCAAUUACUGUGAAUAGAACAGUGAAGCAAACUGUUUGAAAUCGUUCUAUUUUGAUUUUCAGACUCGCGAUUAUCUAAUGAAUCUGUUUUUGCCAGCUGUGAGGAUGAUCGUUGAAACGCCUCAAAACGUUGCAAAGAGUCAAGAGCCUUCAGUUCUGGCGAAUUGAGACCGUCAGUUAAUUCCUAUAACCAUGAGGAUAAAGGAAGUGUUGUGGUUGAUAAUGUUAAGAAGAAACUGUGUAAAAAGGGUUUCAGGUUCCUCCUCCCCCGAAUCUGCGCGAAACGAAAGCCAAGGUUCAUUAGAGCCAGUCUUCUGUUACUGAGUCUCCUGUACCUGUGCCACGGUUGUCGCGAAGAACUGCAUACAAUUGACCAUUGACUCAAGUCUUGAGAAGGUAAUCUUGAGACUUUUAUGUUAAAUUUUGUUUGAAUGGUAUUACUUAAUCCGAAUAACUGAAUACGAUAACGGGUCAAACGGUUGAAUGAGGCUGUCUAAUGUGUGUCCUAAACACAUUAUUAUAUCACUAACGUUAAUGCACUUACCUUUUCAGCUAAAACAAUGCCUUGUCUCUUGCCAUUGUUUCAUCGGGCAGUAUGAUUUAAGUUUUGAUUUUAGUUGAGGGUAUUUUGGACAUUUGGUAGUUACUAAAACAAUUUAUGUUUUUUUAUUGUUUUAGAUACUUCUGGAUCUGGUUUUCAGGCUAAAGAUUUUGAUUCAAUAGUCUGAUAACUUGCUUUGGUCAGUACUUGUAGCACUGUAUCACUUCAGUUCAGGGCAGGCAACUUGUAAUUGUGAAAACUCUCCUUUUCUUGAUUAUUUCCAACUUUUAGUAAAUUAAAAAGGUUAGUUAUUAUGAAAUGCAUGAAUCAUUCAUAAGAAUAAGUCUUGCAGGUUUGAUACAGCCAUUCUAUCAGGUGUGAAACUAACACUAAUGUUGUUCGCUUGGUAUAAUUGGAAUAACCAUCAAAGCUAUUGUCAAAAGAUCAAGUUUAAGAGCAGAAACAGUGUCUCAACUUAUAGCAACUUAUAGCUGGCAACGUUGAAGAUCAGAUAUCAAAAAAAAAAAAAAAACAAAUUACUUUAGGUUGCUACUAUUUUAAUUAAAGAAUUAUAUGAAUCUCAUGGGGUUUUAA
This is a long non-coding RNA of Helianthus annuus (common sunflower), 2434 nucleotides long. RefSeq lists it as uncharacterized. Lineage: Eukaryota; Viridiplantae; Streptophyta; Magnoliopsida; Asterales; Asteraceae. The transcript has 8 exons. The record is from RefSeq and is a predicted model, not a curated record.